AUGCUUUAACAUGCGAGUCGAACGGCAGCACGGAGAGCUUGCUCUCUGGUGGCGAGUGGCGAACGGGUGAGUAAUAUAUCGGAACGUGUCCAAUAAUGGGGGAUAACGAGUCGAAAGAUUCGCUAAUACCGCAUACGCCCUACGGGGGAAAGCAGGGGAUCGUAAGACCUUGCGUUAAUGGAGCGGCCGAUAUCUGAUUAGCUUGUUGGUGAGGUAAAGGCUCACCAAGGCGACGAUCAGUAGCUGGUUUGAGAGAACGACCAGCCACACUGGAACUGAGACACGGUCCAGACUCCUACGGGAGGCAGCAGUGGGGAAUUUUGGACAAUGGGGGCAACCCUGAUCCAGCCAUUCCGCGUGAGUGAAGAAGGCCUUCGGGUUGUAAAGCUCUUUCGCAAGGGAAGAAAACUUAUGAUCGAAUAAAUCAUGAGGUUGACGGUACCUUGAUAAGAAGCACCGGCUAACUACGUGCCAGCAGCCGCGGUAAUACGUAGGGUGCGAGCGUUAAUCGGAAUUACUGGGCGUAAAGCGUGCGCAGGCGGUUUUGUAAGUCGGAUGUGAAAUCCCCGGGCUCAACCUGGGAACUGCGUUCGAAACUGCAAGGCUAGAGUGUGUUAGAGGGGGGUAGAAUUCCACGUGUAGCAGUGAAAUGCGUAGAGAUGUGGAGGAAUACCAAUGGCGAAGGCAGCCCCCUGGGAUACACUGACGCUCAUGCACGAAAGCGUGGGGAGCAAACAGGAUUAGAUACCCUGGUAGUCCACGCCCUAACGAUGUCACUAGUGUUGGUAGAGUAAAUCUAUGAGUACGUAGCUA
RNAcentral lists this ribosomal RNA (813 nucleotides) under uncultured bacterium. Its description in RNAcentral is "bacterial SSU rRNA". It matches the Rfam family "Bacterial small subunit ribosomal RNA", at positions 44 to 854 of the family's 1533-position model. The record is from RNAcentral.